RNAcentral lists this long non-coding RNA (2873 nucleotides) under Homo sapiens (human). RNAcentral describes it as "HSALNT0284197". The record is from RNAcentral. Lineage: Eukaryota; Metazoa; Chordata; Mammalia; Primates; Hominidae.
UAAAAGAGUAGAAUGGUGGUUGCCAGGGCCUCAGGAGGUGGGUGAGAGGGGAAUGGAGACAUGUUGGUGAGAGGGUACAAAGUUUCAGUUAGAUAGGAGGACUAAGUUCUUGAGAUCUAAUGCACAGAAUGGCGACAACCGUUAUUAAUAACAUAAUGAAUAUUUCAAAAUUGCUAAGAGAAUAGAUUUUAAAUGCUGGCACCAUGAUAUGGUUUGACUGUGUCCCCACAGAGAUAAUUGAAUCAUGGGGGCGGUUUCCCUCAUCCUGUUCUCCUGAUAAUGACUUAGUUCUCACGAGAUCCGAUGGUUUUAUAAGGGGAUUCCCUGUUCACUGGGCACUCAUUUCAUUCUCCUUCCUGCAGCCCUGUGAAGAAGGACGUGUUUGCUUCCCCUUUCACCACAACUGUGAGUUUCCUGAGGCCUCCCCAGCCAUGCUAAACUGGAACAAUUUGGAAAACAGCACUUACGGACUGUAAAGACUUUUUCCAGGAACAAACAAGACAAGAACUUUGUGCUAAUAUAUUACAAUGAACCUAGAAACAUUUUUCAUAUCACCAAAGGAAAUUGCAACUGGGGGCAAAGAAUACUCAGUAUUGGCUACUUUCAUGUCACAUAAUCACUCUUAUCUGCAUGUGAGACAGCGUCCAUAGUAGAUGAAGGCAAGGGAGAAGUGGAUUCUGAAUGGCUUUUGAGUAGUAAAUAUUCAGUGUCUGUCAUAUUAGCUCACAUGACCUCACAGGCCUUCACUAAAAAAGUGUUUAAGAUUUUAAAAUACUGGGCCAUUGCAUUGUCAUCUUUAUUUAUGAACUGUAAGCCUGUCACUUGGGAGCAUUUUCAAUGAAAACUUCUCAUACCUUCAAUAAGUUACCCUUCAGUGACUGUUUUUGUUAUUGCUUUGUUUUGAAAAUUAUUUGGGGAUAAGGACUACCAUUAAAUUUUUUCUGUGGUGGGUGUGUUAUGUAAAAUUAAAGGGUUUAAUGCAGUUUAUCUCAGUUGGUUUAACUCAACAUAGAUUGAAUCCCUACCAAUUGACAAGAACUGUGCAGAUCAAUCUAGAAAUGUACAGUCUAAUGUCAUUGAGGAGUGCCAAAUGAUAUAUUUUCCAAGUAAUAUAGAGACCACAUAGCUUCUAACCUCAUUCCACUCACUGAAAAUGAUGGCUCUAAUAAUAAAAAUUUUCAGGGGUAGACCACUGAAGUUUAGCAACUCCCUAGAUUUGGCAGCAGACAGGAAACUGAGAGGGGCACACAUUACACUUGAGUUACUUAAUUGAAACCUUGCUCCUCCUCCUCCCUCUUCUCCUCCUUUUCUUUUUUCAUCCUUUCUCUACACUCUCCCCUUUUUGCUUCUUCUUCUCUAUAGAGACCUUGGUUCUAGUGCUUUACUCUCAUGUAAAAGUUUGGGAAACUCAAAUUUAUUUAUUAGAACAUUAUUAUUCCAAACACAUUUGAGAACAUCAAGUUUCUCCCCCAAAAUGAUAAUUCUAUUACUUCAAAAAUGAACAAGAGAGAAGAAGAGGGGGAGGGAAGAGAGAGAGAGAGAGAGAGAGAGAGAAUGUCUGAACAUAUAGUGGAUUAGAAUAACUAUUUAUUUGGAGGAAAAAAGUAGAGUAACGUAAUUAAACCCUGAAUAAUAUUUACUGAUAGUUUUGUUAUAUAAAUGUUUAAAAAUAGAGCCGUGAUACCUAUUUGGGAUUAACAGUAGUUCCAAAGGUAAGAAUAUAUAGACUAAUAACAUAAAUUUCACAAAUUGUUGCAUUGUGACAUUAAUAAUAUAUUUCUAAAUGGGAACAAUUAUCAACCACCGAUAAACAGUCAAAACAAAGAACCCCAAUUUAUUCAGAGAUGUGUAAAGCUGGGCACACCUCAUUCAUAGAUUUUUUAUUUUUAGAAUUCUCGACAUAUUAAAUUUUUCUGAGGAAAAAAUGUAUAUUCAUUUAUUCAUACUCAUUUUUGAACUAACAUUUAUUUAAGGUCCACAAUAUGCUAGAUAUUUUAUAUUAUUUUUUGAUUACUUAAUGCAAAUAUAGCAACAUUAUGAAGCAAGUAUUAUUAUCCCUGUUUUACAAAUAAGGAAAUAAACUCAGGGAGGUGAAUGUGAUCAAAGAUAGAUAUAUAGUUAAGAAAGUUAAAGAGACAGGAUUCAAGCCUAAGUCUGUCUGACUUCAAAUCUCUCUUCUUCCCACUAUUUAUUGCUCCCUAUGAGUUUAUAUUAAUGAAAUCUAAAAUCCCACUUAAAACCGUAUAAUGAAGAAAUUAAGAAAACCACCUGAGAUAGUGAUAUAAUUUUUCUAAUCACUAAAUAUUUUUUUCUUAGCUCUUCUUGUGGAACAAUAUACAAUAUGAUUCUUGGGAUUGGUUGAGCAUGUCUGCCUUAUUCUAACUCAAAUUUAUUUAAGAUAUGUGUUUUAUAGUAUUCUGCUACUGGAAAUAUUACAAAUACAGUAAUAAAAUAUAUCAUUUAUUAAGUAAAAUAAUAAGGAACAUGAGUAAAACAUUUUGCCUAUAUUAUGCCAGCAGCUAUGCUAUGCACUGGCAACACACACAGGCUUACAAUGAACCCAGAGGUGGGAGCAUCUAUGUCACCAGGAGAAAUUUAAGGAUGAUUUAACAUUUAAAAACUAUUAAUAUGGUUUAUUACAUUAAUAGAUGAAAGGAGUGAAAAACAUGAUCAGUGCUUAGCCCAUAGUAGGCAGUCAAUAAAUAGAUGCGGAAAAGGCUUUGGUCAAAAUUCUAGACCCAUUCAUGAUAAAAGCUCCUUAGCAAACUAGAAAUAGAAGUCAGCUCCCUUAACUUAAUAAAACCUACAAUAAACAUACACUAACGGUGAACUGUUUUAACCUUACCUUUUUCACAGCCAGGAAAAUUAGAAGU